AUGCCAGAGGCUCUAUUUCCUAGCAUUUUACAGCUCCUAUAACUGUAGAAUGGUUGUAGGUCACAGGUAUAACCAAUGAAAACACAACCUAAGAUACAAAUCAGGAGCUACUGAUGCAAAGAAUGGGGACCAGGAGGAAGAGUUUCUUCGAGACCUGGUGGUUGAAGAGCAGUGGAUCAUUCUUGGCUGUGGUGGGAGAGGUGCUGAACGUUGUUCACGCUGGCUAUGUCAUGAGUGGAAUCUAUGGCGUCAAGGCUAGGUGCUUCCAAGACCAAGAUAACCAGGCAAUCAUAGUAGAUGCAUCAAUGCACCCUUGCCCAAGGGCCUAGACAAGAGGAGGAAGGAAAGGAGGAGCACGUGCACAAAGCUAAGGAGGUGAUUAACAACAUGAUACAGUAUUGUUUAGCUUCGCAUGAAUUUUAUCACCUUGCCUAGAACCAGCCACCAUCUGCCAGGGCUCCUGACUUUUUCUGAAAUGAAUAGACACUAAAGCCUGCUGGGGAAUUUCAUGGAAAUCAAGAUGACUCAACCCAGAGUCCAUUUCAAGGCUAGGAUGCUAGAGGACGCCAACAAAGGAGUAGGGAAGUGAAACGGAUCAGCUCACAUCCAAGCCCUUGCAUGAUCAAUCCUGCAGUAGGAGUGCUGCUCAGUUGGGACUCAUGAGAGCCCGGAAGAGGAAAAAGCAGCUCUAAGCAUAGCAAAGAAGCUGUUAUGGAAAAGACCCAAAUGUUAAAAUGGUGGACAUAGUAAAGUGAUUGGUUCUGCUUAGGGGAAUCUAGAUCCCCACAUUUUGACCUCCACUGGAGUCUCAGAAGAACAAGUGCCAGGGGGGCUUGCCACAGAGGCCAAGGCAGUGAAUGUCAGGCACAUCACAGUCCCCAAGAUGGGGAGAAGACUGAGAUGCAGGGUAACAACUGCAAUCCAUUCAUGGGAGCCAUGUUUAUCUUAAAUCAUUGACAGUGAGAUAAGGAUCAUGUCAGCCUUCAUACCUUUGAUGAUGAUCCCAGGCUGCAACAGUGACACAUAGAACUGGAUUCAGUAACUAACUACAGAUUCCAUCAACCAGGACUAGUAAAGUGAAAGGCAGAAAUUGGGAGGAGGGGUUUCUUUCUUGCUUAUAAAACUUUAUUUGGUUGUGUUGAGUAUGUGCAUGUAUGUAUGAAAUCCCAUAAAGCAGUCUUCUUAGGAACAAGCCAACAUGCCACAAUGUAGGAGAUCUUUGGAGCACUGGCCUAAAUGGCAGAGAGCUCAAGGGACUCUGCUUUGUACAAGGCAUGAUUUGUACCACCACCACUAUCCCUGUUUCAGAGCACUGUUGAAUUGUUCCAAACCUGGAUUUCUAUGUCAGCUCCCUGUCUAUAGUACUUGACUGAUAAAUGCUAGUUUCUGAAAUCUGCUUUGGUUCUAUAAUUUAUUAGACAGCUUUUUCUUCCCAUUUUAUUACUUGUUUUUACUGUCAUUGGUAUAUUAUCUCUUACAGUGAAAACAUUCAUAGGCUGAUUGAAGAGAAGAUCUGAAAUUAUUAGGCAGCAAGCAUACAAAACCCUUGCUUUAUAAAGAUAAUAUCUUAAAGGCCUAAUGUCUAUGGUUCAAAGCAGCCUGGAGAUGUUGGCUAAAUCUUCCAUCAUAGAGUCCUCAUGGGAUCUGGAAGCUCUGAUUUAUCUUCCUUCAGGCCCUAUAAGUUAGCUUUCCACAUCUGUAGGUUCCACA
Molecule: long non-coding RNA, 1710 nt
Filed under: Homo sapiens (human)
Lineage: Eukaryota; Metazoa; Chordata; Mammalia; Primates; Hominidae
Description: HSALNT0361600
Source: RNAcentral